AAAGCCCCGCAAGGGGUAAGUAGAGUGGCAAACGGGUGAGUAACACGUGGGUGACCUGCCUUAGAGUGGGGGAUAACGUCCCGAAAGGGACGCUAAUACCGCAUAACAUCCUGCCUUUGAAGAGGUGGAGAUCAAAGCUGGGGACCGCAAGGCCUGGCGCUCAAAGAGGGGCCCGCGCCUGAUUAGCUAGUUGGUGAGGUAAUGGCUCACCAAGGCAACGAUCAGUAUCCGGCCUGAGAGGGCGGACGGACACACUGGGACUGAGACACGGCCCAGACUCCUACGGGAGGCAGCAGUGGGGAAUUGUUCGCAAUGGGCGCAAGCCUGACGACGCAACGCCGCGUGGAGGAUGAAGACCUUCGGGUCGUAAACUCCUUUCGAUCGAGACGAACAGCCAUCGGAUGAACAAUCCGGAGGUUUGACGGUACCGAGAGAAGAAGCCCCGGCUAACUCCGUGCCAGCAGCCGCGGUAAUACGGGGGGGGCAAGCGUUGUUCGGAAUUACUGGGCGUAAAGGGCUCGUAGGUGGCCAACUAAGUCAGACGUGAAAUCCCUCGGCUUAACCGGGGAACUGCGUCUGAUACUGGAUGGCUUGAGUUCGGGAGAGGGAUGCGGAAUUCCAGGUGUAGCGGUGAAAUGCGUAGAUAUCUGGAGGAACACCGGUGGCGAAGGCGGCAUCCUGGACCGACACUGACACUGAGGAGCGAAAGCCAGGGGAGCAAACGGGAUUAGAUACCCCGGUAGUCCUGGCCCUAAACGAUGAAUGCUUGGUGUGGCGGGUAUCGAUCCCUGCCGUGCCGAAGCUAACGCAUUAAGCA
This 817-nucleotide ribosomal RNA is filed under the name uncultured Pseudomonadota bacterium. Its description in RNAcentral is "bacterial SSU rRNA". It matches the Rfam family "Bacterial small subunit ribosomal RNA", at positions 71 to 866 of the family's 1533-position model. The record is from RNAcentral. Lineage: Bacteria; Pseudomonadati; Pseudomonadota.